AGUGAACGCUGGCGGUAGGCCUAACACAUGCAAGUCGAACGGCAGCACAGUAAGAGCUUGCUCUUACGGGUGGCGAGUGGCGGACGUGUGAGGAAUACAUCGUAAUCUACUUUUUCGUGGGGGAUAACGUAGGUAGACUUACUCUAAUACCGCAUACGACCUACGGGUGAAAGCAGGGGAUCUUCGGACCUUGCGCGAUUGAAUGAGCCGAUGUCGGAUUAGCUAGUUGGCGGGGUAAAGGCCCACCAAGGCGACGAUCCGUAGCUGGUCUGAGAGGAUGAUAAGCCACACUGGAACUGAGACACGGUCAAGACACCUACGGGAGGGAGCAGUGGGGAAUAUGGGACAAUGGGCGCAAGCAUGAUACAGCCAUACCGCGUGGGUGAAGAAGGCGUUCGGGUUGUAAAGACCUUUUGUUGGGAAAGAAAAGCAGCAGGUUAAUACCACGCUGUUCUGACGGUACCGAAAGAAGAAGCACCGGCUAACUUCGUG
This 492-nucleotide ribosomal RNA is filed under the name uncultured bacterium. Its description in RNAcentral is "partial 16S ribosomal RNA". It matches the Rfam family "Bacterial small subunit ribosomal RNA", at positions 29 to 507 of the family's 1533-position model. The record is from RNAcentral.